GGUCUCCGAGUAACUCCAACCCCUGUGACAUACCUAUACGUUGCCUCGGCGGAUCAGCCCGCGCCCCGUAAAACGGGACGGCCCGCCCGAGGACCCUAAACUCUGUUUUUAGUGGAACUUCUGAGUAAAACAAACAAAUAAAUCAAAACUUUCAACAACGGAUCUCUUGGUUCUGGCAUCGAUGAAGAACGCAGCAAAAUGCGAUAAGUAAUGUGAAUUGCAGAAUUCAGUGAAUCAUCGAAUCUUUGAACGCACAUUGCGCCCGCCAGUAUUCUGGCGGGCAUGCCUGUUCGAGCGUCAUUUCAACCCUCAAGCUCAGCUUGGUGUUGGGACUCGCGGUAACCCGCGUUCCCCAAAUCGAUUGGCGGUCACGUCGAGCUUCCAUAGCGUAGUAAUCAUACACCUCGUUACUGGUAAUCGUCGCGGCCACGCCGUAAAACCCCAACUUCUGAAUGUUGACCUCGGAUCAGGUAGGAAUACCCGCUGAACUUAAGCAUAUCAAUAAGCCGGAGGA
This 514-nucleotide ribosomal RNA is filed under the name Fusarium chlamydosporum. RNAcentral describes it as "eukaryotic LSU rRNA". The stretch from base 147 to 300 matches the Rfam family "5.8S ribosomal RNA". The record is from RNAcentral. Lineage: Eukaryota; Fungi; Ascomycota; Sordariomycetes; Hypocreales; Nectriaceae.